GGAGAGGUGUCCGAGCGGCUGAAGGAGCGGCACUGGAAAUGCCGUAUGCGGGUAACCGCAUCGGGGGUUCGAAUCCCCCCCUCUCCG
RNAcentral lists this transfer RNA (87 nucleotides) under Phycisphaerales bacterium. RNAcentral's name for it is "tRNA-Ser". It matches the Rfam family "tRNA". From Rfam's summary of the family: Transfer RNA (tRNA) molecules are approximately 80 nucleotides in length. Their secondary structure includes four short double-helical elements and three loops (D, anti-codon, and T loops). Further hydrogen bonds mediate the characteristic L-shaped molecular structure. tRNAs have two regions of fundamental functional importance: the anti-codon, which is responsible for specific mRNA codon recognition, and the 3' end, to which the tRNAs corresponding amino acid is attached (by aminoacyl-tRNA synthetases). tRNAs cope with the degeneracy of the genetic code in two manners: having more than one tRNA (with a specific anti-codon) for a particular amino acid; and 'wobble' base-pairing, i.e. permitting non-standard base-pairing at the 3rd anti-codon position. Lineage: Bacteria; Pseudomonadati; Planctomycetota; Phycisphaerae; Phycisphaerales. The record is from RNAcentral.